GGCGGCAGGCUUAACACAUGCAAGUCGAGCGGAUGAAGGUAGCUUGCUACCGGAUUCAGCGGCGGACGGGUGAGUAAUGCUUAGGAAUCUGCCUAUUAGUGGGGGACAACGUUCCGAAAGGAGCGCUAAUACCGCAUACGUCNUACGGGAGAAAGCAGGGGACCUUUGGNCCUUGCGCUAAUAGAUGAGCCUAAGUCGGAUUAGCUAGUUGGUAGGGUAAAGGCCUACCAAGGCGACGAUCUGUAGCGGGUCUGAGAGGAUGAUCCGCCACACUGGGACUGAGACACGGCCCAGACUCCUACGGGAGGCAGCAGUGGGGAAUAUUGGACAAUGGGGGGAACCCUGAUCCAGCCAUGCCGCGUGUGUGAAGAAGGCCUUUUGGUUGUAAAGCACUUUAAGCGAGGAGGAGGCUACCUAGAUUAAUACUUUAGGAUAGUGGACGUUACUCGCAGAAUAAGCACCGGCUAACUCUGUGCCAGCAGCCGCGGUAAUACAGAGGGUGCGAGCGUUAAUCGGAUUUACUGGGCGUAAAGCGUGCGUAGGCGGCCAAUUAAGUCAAAUGUGAAAUCCCCGAGCUUAACUUGGGAAUUGCAUUCGAUACUGGUUGGCUAGAGUAUGGGAGAGGAUGGUAGAAUUCCAGGUGUAGCGGUGAAAUGCGUAGAGAUCUGGAGGAAUACCGAUGGCGAAGGCAGCCAUCUGGCCUAAUACUGACGCUGAGGUACGAAAGCAUGGGGAGCAAACAGGAUUAGAUACCCUGGUAGUCCAUGCCGUAAACGAUGUCUACUAGCCGUUGGGGCCCUUGAGGCUUUAGUGGCGCAGCUAACGCGAUAAGUAGACCGCCUGGGGAGUACGGUCGCAAGACUAAAACUCAAAUGAAUUGACGGGGGCCCGCACAAGCGGUGGAGCAUGUGGUUUAAUUCGAUGCAACGCGAAGAACCUUACCUGGCCUUGACAUACAGAGAACUUUCCAGAGAUGGAUUGGUGCCUUCGGGAACUCUGAUACAGGUGCUGC
RNAcentral lists this ribosomal RNA (1012 nucleotides) under Acinetobacter radioresistens. Its description in RNAcentral is "bacterial SSU rRNA". It matches the Rfam family "Bacterial small subunit ribosomal RNA", at positions 38 to 1044 of the family's 1533-position model. Lineage: Bacteria; Pseudomonadati; Pseudomonadota; Gammaproteobacteria; Moraxellales; Moraxellaceae. The record is from RNAcentral.